GACGAAAGUCUGACGGAGCAACGCCGCGUGAGUGAUGAAGGUUUUCGGAUCGUAAAACUCUGUUGUUAGGGAAGAACAAGUACCGUUCGAAUAGGGCGGUACCUUGACGGUACCUAACCAGAAAGCCACGGCUAACUACGUGCCAGCAGCCGCGGUAAUACGUAGGUGGCAAGCGUUGUCCGGAAUCAUUGGGCGUAAAGCGCGCGCAGGUGGUUCUUUAAGUCUGAUGUGAAAGCCCCCGGCUCAACCGGGGAGGGUCAUUGGAAACUGGGGAACUUGAGUGCAGAAGAGGAAAGUGGAAUUCCACGUGUAGCGGUGAAAUGCGUAGAGAUGUGGAGGAACACCAGUGGCGAAGGCGACUUUCUGGUCUGUAACUGACACUGAGGCGCGAAAGCGUGGGGAGCGAACAGGAUUAGAUACCCUGGUAGUCCACGCCGUAAACGAUGAGUGCUAAGUGUUAGGGGGUUUCCGCCCCUUAGUGCUGCAGCAAACGCAUUAAGCACUCCGCCUGGGGAGUAC
RNAcentral lists this ribosomal RNA (519 nucleotides) under uncultured bacterium. Its description in RNAcentral is "bacterial SSU rRNA". It matches the Rfam family "Bacterial small subunit ribosomal RNA", at positions 374 to 883 of the family's 1533-position model. The record is from RNAcentral.